UACGAAGGGGGCUAGCGUUGCUCGGAAUCACUGGGCGUAAAGCGCACGUAGGCGGAUUGCUAAGUCAGGGGUGAAAUCCUGGAGCUCAACUCCAGAACUGCCUUUGAUACUGGCGACCUUGAGUCCGGGAGAGGUGAGUGGGACUGCGAGUGUAGAGGUGAAAUUCGUAGAUAUUCGCAAGAACACCAGUGGCGAAGGCGGCUCACUGGCCCGGUACUGACGCUGAGGUGCGAAAGCGUGGGGAGCAAACAGG
RNAcentral lists this ribosomal RNA (253 nucleotides) under uncultured bacterium. RNAcentral describes it as "partial 16S ribosomal RNA". It matches the Rfam family "Bacterial small subunit ribosomal RNA", at positions 524 to 776 of the family's 1533-position model. The record is from RNAcentral.